This 454-nucleotide ribosomal RNA is filed under the name bacterium enrichment culture clone ALO1_GLFRUDD03G6YVA. Its description in RNAcentral is "bacterial SSU rRNA". It matches the Rfam family "Bacterial small subunit ribosomal RNA", at positions 9 to 468 of the family's 1533-position model. The record is from RNAcentral.
GAGUUUGAUCAUGGCUCAGAUUGAACGCUGGCGGCAGGCCUAACACAUGCAAGUCGAGCGGAUGACGGGAGCUUGCUCCUUGAUUCAGCGGCGGACGGGUGAGUAAUGCCUAGGAAUCUGCCUGGUAGUGGGGGACAACGUUCCGAAAGGAACGCUAAUACCGCAUACGUCCUACGGGAGAAAGCAGGGGACCUUCGGGCCUUGCGCUAUCAGAUGAGCCUAGGUCGGAUUAGCUAGUUGGUGGGGUAAUGGCUCACCAAGGCGACGAUCCGUAACUGGUCUGAGAGGAUGAUCAGUCACACUGGAACUGAGACACGGUCCAGACUCCUACGGGAGCGGCAGUGGGGAAUAUUGGACAAUGGGCGAAAGCCUGAUCCAGCCAUGCCGCGUGUGUGAAGAAGGUCUUACGGAUUGUAAAGCACUUUAAGUGGGAGGAAGGCAGUAAGUUAAUACC